RNAcentral lists this ribosomal RNA (624 nucleotides) under Klebsiella pneumoniae. Its description in RNAcentral is "partial 23S ribosomal RNA". It matches the Rfam family "Bacterial large subunit ribosomal RNA", at positions 2307 to 2925 of the family's 2925-position model. The record is from RNAcentral. Lineage: Bacteria; Pseudomonadati; Pseudomonadota; Gammaproteobacteria; Enterobacterales; Enterobacteriaceae.
AGCACGAAGGUUAGCUAAUCCUGGUCGGACAUCAGGAGGUUAGUGCAAUGGCAUAAGCUAGCUUGACUGCGAGCGUGACGGCGCGAGCAGGUGCGAAAGCAGGUCAUAGUGAUCCGGUGGUUCUGAAUGGAAGGGCCAUCGCUCAACGGAUAAAAGGUACUCCGGGGAUAACAGGCUGAUACCGCCCAAGAGUUCAUAUCGACGGCGGUGUUUGGCACCUCGAUGUCGGCUCAUCACAUCCUGGGGCUGAAGUAGGUCCCAAGGGUAUGGCUGUUCGCCAUUUAAAGUGGUACGCGAGCUGGGUUUAGAACGUCGUGAGACAGUUCGGUCCCUAUCUGCCGUGGGCGCUGGAGAAUUGAGGGGGGCUGCUCCUAGUACGAGAGGACCGGAGUGGACGCAUCACUGGUGUUCGGGUUGUCAUGCCAAUGGCACUGCCCGGUAGCUAAAUGCGGAAGAGAUAAGUGCUGAAAGCAUCUAAGCACGAAACUUGCCCCGAGAUGAGUUCUCCCUGAGACUUUAAGUCUCCUGAAGGAACGUUAAAGACGAUGACGUUGAUAGGCCGGGUGUGUAAGCGCAGCGAUGCGUUGAGCUAACCGGUACUAAUGAACCGUGAGGCUUAACCUU